RNAcentral lists this ribosomal RNA (405 nucleotides) under uncultured bacterium. RNAcentral describes it as "bacterial SSU rRNA". It matches the Rfam family "Bacterial small subunit ribosomal RNA", at positions 355 to 776 of the family's 1533-position model. The record is from RNAcentral.
UGGGGGAUAUUGCACAAUGGGGGGAACCCUGAUGCAGCGACGCCGCGUGGGCGAGGAAGCGUUUCGGCGCGUAAAGCCCUAUCGGCAGGGAAGAGAAAGGACGGUACCUGACUAAGAAGCGCCGGCUAAAUACGUGCCAGCAGCCGCGGUAACACGUAUGGCGCGAGCGUUAUCCGGAUUUACUGGGUGUAAAGGGAGCGCGGGCGGCCUGCCAAGUCCGGUGUGAAAGCCCGGGGCUCAACCCCGGGACCGCACUGGAAACUGGCGGGCUGGAGUUCCGGAGAGGCAGGCGGAAUUCCUGGUGUAGCGGUGAAAUGCGCAGAUAUCAGGAGGAACACCGGUGGCGAAGGCGGCCUGCCGGACGGACACUGACGCUGAGGCUCGAAAGCGUGGGGAGCGAACAGG